CUUUUCUUGUAUUGCUUAUGAAGUAUAACCUGCUCACUGUUUAUAAAUUAAGGGCUGCGGUAUUUUUGACCGUACAAAGGUAGCAUAAUCAUUAGUCUUUUAAUUGGAGGCUGGAAUGAAAGGUUGGACGAGAUAUAUUCUUUAUUAUAAUUAUUUUAUCUGAAUUUAAUUAUUAAGUUAAAAAGCUUAAAUUUUUUUAUGGGACGAGAAGACCCUAUAGAGCUUUAUAGCAAUUUAUAUGUAUUAUGUAGUUAAUUAUUUAUUAUUAAUUGUUAUUUUGUUGGGGUGAUUAGAAGAUAAAAUUAACUCUUUUUAUUGUUUUAUAUUAAUGUAUAAAUUUAUUGAUCCUUUUUUAUUGAUUAAAAGAAUAAGUUACCUUAGGGAUAACAGCGUAAUCCUUUUUGAGAGUACUUAUCGAUAGAAGGGGUUGCGA
RNAcentral lists this ribosomal RNA (433 nucleotides) under Capraiellus panzeri. RNAcentral's name for it is "partial 16S ribosomal RNA". It matches the Rfam family "Archaeal large subunit ribosomal RNA", at positions 1918 to 2592 of the family's 2987-position model. Lineage: Eukaryota; Metazoa; Arthropoda; Insecta; Blattodea; Ectobiidae. The record is from RNAcentral.